Molecule: ribosomal RNA, 269 nt
Filed under: Ixodes affinis
Lineage: Eukaryota; Metazoa; Arthropoda; Arachnida; Ixodida; Ixodidae
Description: partial 12S ribosomal RNA
Source: RNAcentral
UCAUAAGAUUUUGGCGGUAUUUUAAGCUUAUUAGAGGAAUUUGCUCUGUAAUGGAUACAACGCCUUAAUCUUACUUAAUUUGGUUUAAAAGUCAGUUUGUAUACCACUAUAUUUAAUUAUAUUGAAUAAUUAUAUUUAAGAUUUUUUUUUAUAAAAAAUAUAUUAAGUCAAGGUGCAAUUUAUAAUUAUGAAUGAAGUGAAUUACAUUAAUUUUAAUUUUACUUAAAUAUUGAAAAAAAAAUUAUAGGAUUUAAUAGUAAAAUGUUAAU